CCUACGGUGGGCAGCAGUAGGGAAUCUUCCACAAUGGGCGAAAGCCUGAUGGAGCAACGCCGCGUGGGUGAAGAAGGUCUUCGGAUCGUAAAACCCUGUUUUUAGAGAAGCAAGUGCGUGAGAGUAACUGUUCACGUUUCGACGGUAUCUAACCAGAAAGCCACGGCUAACUACGUGCCAGCAGCCGCGGUAAUACGUAGGUGGCAAGCGUUAUCCGGAUUUAUUGGGCGUAAAGGGAACGCAGGCGGUCUGUUAAGUCUGAUGUGAAAACCUUCGGCUUAACCGGAGUAGUGCAUUGGAAACUGGGAGACUUGAGUGAAGAAGAGGAGAGUGGAAUUCGAUGUGUAGCGGUGAAAUGCGUAGAUAUCUGGAAGAACACCAGUGGCGAAAGCGGCUUUCUGGUCUGUAACUGACGCUGAGGUUCGAAAGCGUGGGUAGCAAACAGGAUUAGAUACCCGGGUAGUC
RNAcentral lists this ribosomal RNA (465 nucleotides) under uncultured bacterium. RNAcentral's name for it is "partial 16S ribosomal RNA". It matches the Rfam family "Bacterial small subunit ribosomal RNA", at positions 338 to 795 of the family's 1533-position model. The record is from RNAcentral.